GAGUGGGCCCCAAGAAGAGGACUUUCCUGCAGCCUCUAGUGCUGGCCCUAGAGAUGGCCCUCAGCCCACCUGAGCCAGGUUUCGUUGAGAAUGGCCAGCUAUGUUUGAAGGUGUUAAAGACCCCAGAGGAAGGGAUGUCCUCGUCAUCACCGCAGGAGACCACAGAGCAGAAUGGCAGCUGUUGGACUCCAGACAGCAAGUGGCCACAGGUGACAGGGACCCAAAUUCUUCCUGCAGGAUUGUGUGAUUCAAAUUCACAUUAGCAGUACAAGGAGAUGCAGUUUUGCGUAUUACGCUGGCAUCUGUCCCCUGUUUGUUUUCUAGAAGUCUAGAAUCAAAUCACACAUCUGUGAGCCAGGAAUAUGGAAAUGUGCUGUAGAUCCACUACUGCACUACAGUGGUGUGGUUGUCAAAAUGGAAAACACGUAAGAUGACAGGUGAAAAUGAAAGCCGCAGGCCAAAGGAUAUUGGGAGCAGAUGGUGCAUUGGAAACAUAUACAAUGGGCUUUUCUUGAAAGCAAAGAUGCCGGCAAUUCCAGUCUCUUCUGUUGCCACAUGAAAAUCAGAUGAAGAAAAACAGCUCAGACCUUUAUGGUUUGAGCGGCAUCGCCCACUUCUGCAGUGUGCAGUCUGCGAUGUUGCUUUAGAAAUAAUGACAUCAACAAUGAUCUAAGAUGCAGCAGAUUGGAUCACCCAAUUCAGGUCUUAAAAUGAGCAAAAGUUUGGCUCUAAAGUAUUUUUUGUCAGUGUGUUGAGGAAGAGGCUGUUCGUAGGGAGUGGCUUUAGGGUUCACGGCUUGGAUUCUGGAUGCCUUCACCUGUAGGGCUGCAGGAAGGAACCCACUUGGAAAUGGUGUCAGUGGCAAGAAUCAGACAUUGUGACAGCUUGUGACAUGUUGGGCGGGACAACCUUGAUGCAGAUUGUUCAGGGCAAUG
Molecule: long non-coding RNA, 935 nt
Organism: Octodon degus (degu)
Lineage: Eukaryota; Metazoa; Chordata; Mammalia; Rodentia; Octodontidae
Exons: 3
Source: RefSeq, a predicted model, not a curated record